Molecule: long non-coding RNA, 433 nt
Organism: Arvicola amphibius (Eurasian water vole)
Lineage: Eukaryota; Metazoa; Chordata; Mammalia; Rodentia; Cricetidae
Exons: 4
Source: RefSeq, a predicted model, not a curated record
AUUGAAUCAGACAUCCAUAAGGAAAACAAAUUAAGAGGCCUGAAGGUGCAGAAGGAAGGGAAGAUCAGCUAAACAGACUUCGUGUGGCUUCUGCUCUCCGAGGGGGACAAUAAGACAUCAACCAGCGUCGAGUAUUGUGUCAGCUGCAUGGACAUGGACAUGUACGAGCUUGAGUGUUUCUACAAGGAACAGAUGUAGCACCUGGACGCCUGGGCCAUUGAGUUGCUUCCCUUCCUGGACUGCAUGUGCCAGAUGCUGGACCUGGUGAAGCCAUGGAUCCUGGAAAAAGUCUGCCUGAUACGAUGGGACUGUAGGCUAAAGAUGGAUGCUAAAAUGUCACAGAAGAACUUUGAGAUGCUGGGGCUGAUCUAAUGGGAGCUCACCAAGGCCAGCUGUACUGAGACUGAAAAAGCAUGGGAUAAAACCGGACUCC